AUUUCAACAAUCGGAAAAGGUUUUACUUAGCUGUGGAUUAAUAGGGAAUCGUGUGUAAAUCACGAACUGUCGCGCAACUGUAAGUAACAUAAAGGUUUUUGUCCAUGAGCUCCACUGCUGUGCGGGAAGGACGAUAAAAACUGUUACAAGUCAGGAUACCUGCCUCUUCCGUAUUGACGAU
This 181-nucleotide non-coding RNA is filed under the name Pedobacter sp. BAL39. The record is from RNAcentral. Lineage: Bacteria; Pseudomonadati; Bacteroidota; Sphingobacteriia; Sphingobacteriales; Sphingobacteriaceae. RNAcentral also lists the same sequence under 1 other name.